UUCAAAAAUUAAGUGACAAAUAUGAAGCAAGCGAAAAGAAAUAUAAAGAUUUAAUCAAUGCAAAUGAGAAAAAACGAAAAGUUAAAAGUACAAAUUCAGCUGGAGAUAGUGGAAGUGACACUAGGGAUGAUGGUAGUAUUGAUUACGUUAAUGGUGAUGAUAAAAAUAAUGUAACUAAACGAUAUGUAUCAAAGAUAAAAGAACUUAACAAACGAAUUGAAAAAGAAUGUAAAUUAAAAGAGAGUUACAUGGAAAAAAAUAAGAAAUUAAAAAUGUCACUAGAUAUGUUACAAAAAAAAGAAACAACAAUUAUGUCAAGUGAACAUAGUAAUGUUAAAACUGUUGGUAAAAAUAAUUCUACAUUUGUUAUGAAUAGGUCCAAAUCAUUUGAUGAAUUUGAAAUUAAAAAAAAAAAAAAAAAAAAUAGCACUAGCACUAGUACUAGCACUACUGGAAGCAAUGACGAAAACAAGGCUACGAGCAAUAGCAUAAUCAAUGAACAUGAUGUAUUUUUAGGAAAAGAAUUAUCUUAUUAUAAAAUCCUUUGUAAGGAGUUAAAAAUAGAAUUGGAUAAACUGAAAAAAGAAAAAAGGAAAAACAACAAAGAGGUUACCAGUACUAAUUAUAGUAGUGAAGAUGACAUAGAGUGUACAAGCACAAACAGGUGUGACACUAUAAGGAUAGAUGGAAAUGGAAAAAAAAGUUAUAAUAAUAAUGACUAUAGUAAAUAUUCCAUUUCAGACGAAAAGAAUAAGUUAGAUGAAUAUAAAAAAGAUGAUGAUAAAAAAGAUGAAGAUAAAAAAGAUGAAGAAAUAAAAAAUCUUAAAAAAAGAUUGAACGAGUAUGAAGUAGAAAUAAGAAAAUUGAAUGAACUUAGAAUGGUAAAUGCUACGAUAAAUAAACAGAAUGAAUUAGUUAAAAAUAUUGAGUGUGACUCUUUGUAUGAUAGGACUAUAAAUGAAAAUGAUACGAAUGAAGGUAUGAGCAAUAACUAUGAUGAGUUAUUUUUUGAUGAAAAUAAAAAUGAGGAGAAUAGUUUAACAAACAAAGAAGACUCUGUUAAAAAUAUAAAUAACUUAAGCAAAAUGAUAAAAAGUAAAAAUAAUGAAAUAUAUCAUUUAAAAAAUCGUGUUGUCUUAUUAGAAACGGAAUUACAAAUUAAAAAUGAAACAGAAAUUAGAUAUAAGCAAAAGUUAAAAAUGACAGGAAAAGAAUUUGAAAGUGGUAAUAUUAGUGUUGAUACUAGUACUGACACAGGUAUGGGUACUGACAUUGUUGCUAAGACUGGAAAAGGUAAAAGUUGUAAUAAAAGUAAAAAUGGUCGACAUCGUAGUAUUGAUAGUGUACGUAGUAGAGGUAGCCGUGGUAGUAGUAGUAGUAGUAGUAAUAGUAGUAAGAAAGCAAAAGAAAGUAAAAAAAACAUAGAGAGUAAUACCCAAUUAGUUGAACUAAAAAAAGAAAUGAGAAGCAAAAAAGAAGAAGUAAAAGAAUUAAAAUUAUUAUUAGAAGAUGCAAAAAAAGAAUUAAAAGAAGAGAAAAAGAAAAGUUUAAAUUAUGAAAAACAGUAUAAUAAAGAAAAAAGUGAAGUAAAUAUAUUAAAAGAAGAGAUAAAAAUUUUAGAAAAGGAUAUUUCAAAAAAAAAAAAAGAAUCUGCUAUAAGUAAGAAUACAUUAAAUAAUUUAAAAUUAGAAUCCGACGAAUUUAAUAACAUCAUAAAUUGUUCGAAUGAAACUAAAAAACAAUUAACUGAUUAUAUACAUAAUUUAUUAAAUACAUUAAGUGAAUAUAAUGAAAAAGUUGAUGAACUAAAAGAUAGUAACACAAUAGAAAAGAAAAAAAAUGAAAGAAAUAAAGAAGAGUUAAAAAAAUUAAAAGAUGACCUACUAGAUUCUAGUAAUCAAAUAGAUGAACUCGCAUCAUUAUUAGAUAAGAAAGAUGAAUUGAUUGAAAAUCUUAAAUUAAAAAUGGAAACAAUUAAUAAAGAGUAUGCUGAUUUGACAUUACAAUAUAAUAAUAUAAUAAAAGAAAGUCAGAGUUUACAUUUGAUUAAUUCAUCACAUAACGCUAACAGUUCUUUAAUAAUACAACAG
Long non-coding RNA from Piliocolobus tephrosceles (Ugandan red Colobus), 2090 nucleotides. NCBI's taxonomy places the organism in Eukaryota, Metazoa, Chordata, Mammalia, Primates, Cercopithecidae. The record is from Ensembl.